UACACUACUUGAUUUUUCCUGUAUGUAUUAUCUUUUUACUUAAAAAAAAGAGCUAAUUUUAAAAGUUUUAAGAGAUGAAAAUCAUUUCCAGGCCCCAAAUUCUAUUGUAUCAUCAUACUGCAUAACACUGUUCAAUAGAGAAUCUCCAAGAAUACAGUAUAAAUUGAAGUAUUAACGGUAGAAAAUGGUUGUUUAUGUUAUUUGGAACUUACAUACUGCUGAAUAUUUUGUAAACCAUGUGUUUAAUUUUGUCACCAGAGGAUUGUAUGUCGUAGAAUGUGCCAUAGAAUAAGUCUGGUUAUUUCUUUCCACAAUGAAAUGAAUAGUCUACAAAGUCCAGUUUCUUGAAAUAAGUGGAAAAGUUUUAGGUGAAUUCUACCUUCCCUAAGGUAGAGAAGGCAUCAUGGUAAAAAAGUACAUUGCUGUUUUUUUUAUUGGACUAAGGUUUGAAUCCUUCUUACCACUUAUUUUCUGUGUGACCUUGAGUGAAUCAUGUUGUCUCUUGCAAUCUAAGAUUCCUCUUACAUAAAAGGGGGAUCACUUCUUCUCCGCUGAUCUUAUGAGGGAUUGCAGGGAUCCAGGAAGAUAAUGGAUAUGAGGAAAUUAAUCAAGCCUAAGGGAUUAUUAAUAAUUUCACUACUCAGCAUACGUAGACCAUGUAUUGAAAACAUCCUAAAAAGGAGUAGCCAGGUAUUCAACUGUCAGUUUACUAGAGUUUUCUGAGAAGACAGAUUAACUGAAACAGCCACAGUGUGCUGGCUCGGAACACAGGAGGCUACAGUGCUCACUGACGUGUGGAAACUGAUACCAUAAUGAAACAUGAGAGAGGAAGCUGUUGAUCAGAUACCUGAUUUUUAGGACCAUGGAGUGGUACAGAAAUACUCAGGGUAAGAUUUGAAGUACUUGAGUUACUGGGACCUCAGUGACUCACAGUUGCGGCGAAUAUACCACUACAUCUUGCUUUAGGAAAAUUGUUAUUUCCAAGUGUGAUACAAGAAGAGUAGGGAGAGAUGGCCUAAAUCAAAAGACAAUUCUAGGGGUGCCUGGGAGGCUCAGUCGGUUGAGCAUCUGACUUUGGCUCAGGUCAUGAUCUCAGGGUUUGUGAAUUUCAGCCCUGCAUCAGGCUUGUUGCUGUCAACUGGAGCCUGGGUUGGAUCCUCUGGCCUCCUUUCUUUCUUCCCCUCCCCAGCUUGUGCAUGCACUCCUGCAUGUGCGCUGUCACUCUCUCUCAAGAAUAAAUUAAAAAAACACUAAAAUUUUUCAAAAGGUAACUUUAAUAAUUCAGAUUAAUGAUUAGGAAUGCUCUUUCCACAUGUGAUCCCACACAAAAGGAACAAAGGGCAUUUUACUUUAAUAAGGUCAAGGCUGCAGGUGGAUCAGCUCUGGGCGUUUAGUGCAGGUGUCAUUCAGAGGCAGGACGAGGAGCACAGUGUAUGCAUUCCCCUGCAAUUUGCAGCUGUACACUCACACAUAAACCUGUAUCUCCAAAGAUUAACUAAAAUUCUUAUGCAUUAAAAAGGUAUUAGUAUGGCGAAAAGGUAUUGCUUAAUAAUUCAGUGCAUACAUUAACCUAAGAAGGGUUUAAAAGUCAUUUAUUGGUAUGAACAAUUCACUGCCAGCCCAUUUUCAACUGGCAAUUUUAUUACCAUUUUAUGUCAAAGGUUAUCAUUUCUCUCUUUCAUAUUUUCUUUUAUAUCUGCUUUAAUAUUUUUUAUGGGACAGAUUUAAUAAUAAAUUGUGAGAUAUUUCUUAAUUACGUCUUUACCUCUGAGUUUUUUCACUCUUCUGCUGCUCCUUGUCCCUGGAGCACAUAACAGAUUUCAUCAACAACAAGAAAUUAGAGGUCUUAAAAUAAAAAGUACUUGUCUGAUAUAGGCAUAGUGAUACUACAACAGGAAUGUAUGUUAAAUAGAAAGUGGGGACUGGAUAUUAGUAACCAAUGAGCUUAAAAUGCACAAUAGAUUGAGAGAUGCUUUAAAAAAAAACCCAAGAGGCAAAACAGGUUUAGGCUCCAUAUGUGAAAAUAAAGUUCUUGGAGCCCAGGAAAGUAGUAAUUCUGUUUUCUGCUGAUCAAACCACAGCUGAGAUAAAGAGUUCAAUUUGGGAAAACAUAAUCUAGAAGAAAUAUGGAGGAGGGCCACCAGAAUAGAAGGAAUCUGGAAAUAGGCAUGCGAGGAAGCACAGAAGGUAUUUGGGAGGAUUGGCCUGAGGAAGAGAACAAAAGAAGGACACAGGACAAUGCUCUGAAAAUAGACAAAGAGCUACUAAGUGAAAGAAAGUGUGAAUUUAUUAUAUUUAUCCACAGAACUAGAAUUCUUAUGCAGAAAUCAGAGGGAAGUGCAUUAUGGGUUAAAUUAUUUAAAGUUAUGUUUUAACAGAUAGACCUAUUUAAAAAUGGAAUAUGCUCUUAGGACAUAGCUAUUUCCCCACCAUUCAAGUAGAAGAUAAACAGGCACCAAUUAGGGACACUAUAGAGCAGUGCUAUCCAAUGGAACAUUGUACAGGAUUACAAAUGUCCUAGAUAUGUCCUAUCAAAACAGUAGUACUAGACCACAUGGGCCAAAGAGCCCUUGAAAUAUGACUAGUGUGACCAAGGAACUGAAUUAUUUUAAGUAAUUAUAUAACUCAAAUUUAAACAGCCAUAUGGGCAUAGUGGCUACCAUAUUGGAAGAUACAGAUAUAGAGUCUAGAAGAAAUUCCUGUAUCAGGCUGAAAUUUGGAAUAUACCACCUCUAAGAGUUCUAAACUUACCUCCUAAUGCCUCCUCUCAUCCUGCUUCCUUCCCCCCACUCCUCAUACCCCACUCAAAUAAUACUAACUUGCUUAUAUUUCCUUGAAUAUAUGGUGCUAUUUCAUGUUUGUGAAUGGUAUAUUUUUAUGGAAUGCUCUCCUGCAACAUAAUCUGCUUUUCCUUAUUCUUCCUUACAUUAUCAGUUAUUCUUCUUUUGUAGAAUUUUCCUGAUACCCCAAAACUUCUGUCCUCUGAUAUUGGCAUGUAUAUCUUUUUAAGUGCAUCAGACAAUAUUCCAAUUGUAUUUCUUUUUUUUUUUUUUUUUUGAGAUUUUAUUUUUAAAAUCCAACGUGGGCUCAAACUCAUGACCCUGAGAUCAAGAGUCACAUGCUCUACCGACUGAGCCAACCAGGUGCCCUGACUCUGAGUUUCUAAGGUUUAGGGCAAUUUUGGGUCUCCAACAUGUAGCAUAACUGGCUUCCAUUAGUAGUUCCACAGAAAUGGAGGAUGCGCAUGCCUGAUACUCCAACUGACACAUGUAUUUACAAAAUGAUACCUAAGAAAUCUCCAUACAACAGGAGAUGUUACAACUUAAAAUUUAUAGCUAAGAAUAAAGAAGUCAAGGUUUUAGAUAAUUUGUCCAGUAUAACACACAAAAAGUAGAACAAAUUGACAAAUGAUUGCAUAUUAAACUCACCUCACUGCUCCAUUCCUGAAUAUCACUGUGUCAAGUUAAAUUCAGUUACUUUGGAAGAAUUUUAAUUAAAGCUCUUAGAUUCGCAAGGGAUCUCAAGAUAUAUCCUGCCUUUUAGCAGGAGAUCCAAAAAGGCUAAAUAAAUUUCCCAAAUUUACUCAGCUAGGAGGUAUCAGAGUUGGCUUUAAAACGAGUUCUCCUAUUUAUUAAGAAUUUAUAUCUCUGAGAUAUAAUACUAAUUGUUAUUUUAAAAUUAAAUAUAUGAUCAAAUUUUCCUAAUUCCAAAAUAAUACUUGUUCUUCAUAGAAACAUUAGAGAGUACAGAAAAAAAAAAUAGGAAAGUAUGGAGACUAAAGAUCAUUCAUAAUCUCCAAAUGCAAAGACUGAUUCAUUCAUUCAUUCUGUCAAUGUUCACUACAAAAGACCACCAGGAACACAGCUGGAAUUGAGAUCACUCUGGCUGUGGGAGGACAGCAGGCGAGAAGCAUGAUAUAAGGCAGGAGACCAACUAAAAUACAACUUUAUUAGUCCAGGACCCUGACCUCGGUGUUUGUCGCGCCGGUCGCAACAUCAAAUGAAGAAAGUGUUUCAAGAAUUUGGAAGUGAUCGGUUCUAUCAAAUGCAGCUAAGAGAUUCAAUUUGUGAAGGACUCAGGAUUGACCAUUGGAUUUUAAAAUGUGGAUCAGA
This is a long non-coding RNA of Acinonyx jubatus (cheetah), 4112 nucleotides long. RefSeq lists it as uncharacterized. The transcript has 3 exons. The record is from RefSeq and is a predicted model, not a curated record. NCBI's taxonomy places the organism in Eukaryota, Metazoa, Chordata, Mammalia, Carnivora, Felidae.